Molecule: long non-coding RNA, 171 nt
Filed under: Dasypus novemcinctus (nine-banded armadillo)
Lineage: Eukaryota; Metazoa; Chordata; Mammalia; Cingulata; Dasypodidae
Description: lncRNA (ENSDNOG00000051607.1)
Source: RNAcentral
CAUUCAAUGGACAGUCUUGGUGGACUAGCUGGUGAUGACAGAAAUCUAUGAAAACCCAGAAAUGUGAUGGCCAACUCUAUUCAGGCCUUCAGCUGUAUACGUGUACAAACACAAAGGAGGUGUGUUGACACCAGUGCCUUAUUCAGUGACCGACAGAUAUCCAUAGGCUGA